AGCAAGCGGCGGUGACGGGAUCUCCAAAUUCGGCUAUUUUAUACCCAACCACGGCACGUCCGUCUCUUCCUCUCGUCGGGAAAUAAUGGGAAACUAAAACCACCACCAUCCGUCACUUCCUCGAACAAAAAGAAUAGCAAGGAAAGGCAAAAAAAGCAAGGAAAUAAGAAGACGGAAGAAAACCACCACCUUUGGGAACCGCCUUCUCUCCUCAAUCCCAGACGCCCUUUUUGAUCCCUCUCUCUUCCCGGCUCUUGAUCAAAGACACGUGCAAUCCAUCGGAUCGGGCCCCCCAGGCCGACGGGCGGCUGGUGAUGGCGGAGGCGGUGAGAUGGGGAACGUGGGAGGAGCUGGUCUUAGGCGGCGCCGUGCUCCGCCACGGGGCCGCGGNN
This 392-nucleotide long non-coding RNA is filed under the name Phoenix dactylifera (date palm). Its description in RNAcentral is "long non-coding RNA (PDAC_LNC005626)". The record is from RNAcentral. Lineage: Eukaryota; Viridiplantae; Streptophyta; Magnoliopsida; Arecales; Arecaceae.